GANGCCUGACGCAGCACGCCGCGUGGGGGAUGAAUGCCUUCGGGUUGUAAACCCCUUUCAGCAGGGACGAAAAUGACGGUACCUGCAGAAGAAGCUCCGGCCAACUACGUGCCAGCAGCCGCGGUAAUACGUAGGGAGCAAGCGUUGUCCGGAAUUAUUGGGCGUAAAGAGCUCGUAGGCGGUUCAGUAAGUCGGGUGUGAAAACUCAAGGCUCAACCUUGAGACGCCACUCGAUACUGCUGUGACUUGAGUCCGGUAGAGGAGUGUGGAAUUCCUGGUGUAGCGGUGAAAUGCGCAGAUAUCAGGAGGAACACCAGCGGCGAAGGCGGCACUCUGGGCCGGUACUGACGCUGAGGAGCGAAAGCAUGGGGAGCAAACAGGAUUAGAUACCCUGGUAGUCCAUGCCGUAAACGUUGGGCACUAGGUAUGGGAUCAUAUCAACGGAUUCCGUGCCGUAGCUAACGCAUUAAGUGCCCCGCCUGNGNAANNNACGGA
Molecule: ribosomal RNA, 495 nt
Filed under: uncultured Actinomycetes bacterium
Lineage: Bacteria; Bacillati; Actinomycetota; Actinomycetes
Description: bacterial SSU rRNA
Rfam family: Bacterial small subunit ribosomal RNA
Source: RNAcentral